RNAcentral lists this ribosomal RNA (1241 nucleotides) under metagenome. RNAcentral's name for it is "bacterial LSU rRNA". It matches the Rfam family "Bacterial large subunit ribosomal RNA", at positions 1564 to 2816 of the family's 2925-position model. The record is from RNAcentral.
UGAAUACGAGAUGCUACGGCAUCGAAGCAGUCUAUGUCAUACUUCCAAGAAAAGCUUGCACUGUCAUAAACAAAUAAUGCCUGUACCAUAACCGACACAGGUGGGUAGGUAGAGUAUACUAAGGGGCGCGAGAUAACUUUCUCUAAGGAACUCGGCAAAAUGACUCCGUAACUUCGGGAGAAGGAGUGCCUUAUUUUAUAAGGUUGCAAUAACAAGAUCCAAGCAACUGUUUACCAAAAACACAGGUCUCCGCUAAGUCGUAAGACGAUGUAUGGGGGCUGACGCCUGCCCAGUGCCAGAAGGUUAAAGAAGUUGGUUAGCAUUAGCGAAGCUGAUAACUGAAGCCCUGGUGAACGGCGGCCGUAACAAUAACGGUCCUAAGGUAGCGAAAUUCCUUGUCGGGUAAGUUCCGACCCGCACGAAAGGCGUAAUGAUUUGGAUACUGUCUCGGAGAGGGGCUCGGUGAAAUAGACUUGUCUGUGAAGAUGCGGACUACCUGCACCAGGACAGAAAGACCCUAUGAAGCUCUACUAACUUGAGAUUGAAAUUGGACUUUAUUUGCGCAGUAUAGGUGGGAGACGUUGAAAAUAUUCUUGCGGGAAUAUUGGAGUCAUCAGUGAGAUACCACUCUUAUAAUGUUAGAUUUCUAACUUUGUAUCAUUAUCUGGUCAAAGAACAGUCUCAGGCGGGCAGUUUGACUGGGGCGGUCGCCUCCCAAACGGUAACGGAGGCGCACAAAGGUUUCCUCUGAACGUGUAGAAAUCGUAUCUAGAGUGUAAAGGCAUAAGGAAGCUUGACUGUGAGACCUACAAGUCGAGCAGGGACGAAAGUCGGCCUUAGUGAUCUGACGGUGCUGAGUGGAAAGGCCGUCACUCAACGGAUAAAAGUUACUCUAGGAUAACAGGCUGAUCUCCCCCAAGAGUUCACAUCGACGGGGAGGUUUGGCACCUCGAUGUCGGCUCAUCGCAUCCUGGGGCGGUAGUACGUCCCAAGGGUUGGGCUGUUCGCCCAUUAAAGCGGUACGCGAGCUGGGUUCAGAACGUCGUGAGACAGUUCGGUCCAUAUCCGGUGUAGGCGUUAGAAUAUUGAGAGGAGCCUUCUUUAGUACGAGAGGACCGAGAAGGACAUACCUCUGGUGUACCAGUUAUCGUGCCAACGGUAAACGCUGGGUAGCUAUGUAUGGAGAGGAUAACCGCUGAAAGCAUCUAAGUGGGAAGCCCACCUCAAGAUAAGUAUUCUCA